GUGGGGAGCAAAGGUUCAACCCUGACCACUUUGGACAGCAGCCAGCGAAGCACUGUGCCCUUCCCUGGGUGUUGCUAGAAACCAAAACAUGGCUGUGGAAGUUGGUCCCAACCCUGAAUUGUGACUUCUGCACACCUGGAUCACAGAGCGCCCACAAAUCCUCAAUACCUUCCAAUCAAAUAUCGGG
This 187-nucleotide long non-coding RNA is filed under the name Fukomys damarensis (Damara mole-rat). Its description in RNAcentral is "lncRNA (ENSFDAG00000027247.1)". The record is from RNAcentral. Lineage: Eukaryota; Metazoa; Chordata; Mammalia; Rodentia; Bathyergidae.